GAAGUAAAAGUCGUAACAAGGUCUCCGUUGGUGAACCAGCGGAGGGAUCAUUAAAGAGUGUAAUAACUCCCAAACCCAUGUGAACAUACCUCAUGUUGCCUCGGCAGGUCGCGCCUACCCCGCAGACCCCUACCCUGUAGGGCCUACCCGGAAGGCGCGGGUAACCCUGCCGGCGGCCCACGAAACUCUGUUUAGUAUUGAAUUCUGAACCUAUAACUAAAUAAGUUAAAACUUUCAACAACGGAUCUCUUGGUUCUGGCAUCGAUGAAGAACGCAGCGAAAUGCGAUAAGUAAUGUGAAUUGCAGAAUUCAGUGAAUCAUCGAAUCUUUGAACGCACAUUGCGCCCAUUAGUAUUCUAGUGGGCAUGCCUGUUCGAGCGUCAUUUCAACCCUUAAGCCCCUGUUGCUUAGCGUUGGGAGCCUACAGCACUGUAGCUCCCCAAAGUUAGUGGCGGAGUCGGCUCACACUCUAGACGUAGUAAAUCUUUCACCUCGUCUGUAGUUGGACCGGUCCCCUGCCGUAAAACACCCAAACUUUUAAAAGGUUGACCUCGGAUCAGGUAGGAAUACCCGCUGAACUUAAGCAU
Molecule: ribosomal RNA, 587 nt
Filed under: Xylaria sp. 1 ICMP 18865
Lineage: Eukaryota; Fungi; Ascomycota; Sordariomycetes; Xylariales; Xylariaceae
Description: eukaryotic LSU rRNA
Rfam family: 5.8S ribosomal RNA (bases 230-383)
Source: RNAcentral